CAAAGGCUUGGUCCUGACUUUACUAUCAGCUCUAACUGAACUUACCAUGCAGUCUCGCAUUCCUGUGACGGAUGCCCUUAAUCCUGCCCGGGCACGAGGAGCCGGUAUCAGCACGCCCAGGCAGCCCACGACGCCUUGCUAAGCCACAACCCCCAAGGAAACUCAGCAGUGAUAAAUAUUAAGCCAUAAGCGAAAGCUUGACUUAGUUAAGGUUAAGAGGGCCGGUAAAACUCGUGCCAGCCACCGCGGUUAUACGAGAGGCCCUAGUUGAUAACUACCGGCGUAAAGAGUGGUUAUGGAAGAUACUUGAUAAAGCCGAACACUCCCUCAGCCGUCAUA
Molecule: ribosomal RNA, 339 nt
Filed under: Oncorhynchus masou (cherry salmon)
Lineage: Eukaryota; Metazoa; Chordata; Actinopteri; Salmoniformes; Salmonidae
Description: partial 12S ribosomal RNA
Source: RNAcentral